This 4359-nucleotide unclassified non-coding RNA is filed under the name Drosophila pseudoobscura pseudoobscura. Its description in RNAcentral is "GA13353". Lineage: Eukaryota; Metazoa; Arthropoda; Insecta; Diptera; Drosophilidae. The record is from RNAcentral.
AGAUCGGUGCUAUCCGUAACCAUCGUGUGAGUUAAGUAAAAAAUAACAACGAAAAUUUGUAUAAUUUUCCUGAGUUUUGAAAACGAAAUGAAAAUAUUGCACGAAGAGUAGCAACUUAAACAGCCACAGAAGUCCAGCAUCAGAUAGACAGCGGAAAGUUAAAGCGUAAACGAAAAUAAUAAAAAUUUUUUUGCCGAGUCCAUUUUAAAAAAAAGUUAACUGAGAAAUUUUGAAUUUACUUGGAAUUUAGAACGAUAGAACUAGGAACGAUGUUGCCGGUUUGAACUGUGUGAACUGACUGAAAAUAAUACUGGCUUGGGCCGGCCGUAUAAAUAGGAGCAUUCAGCAGCCUGCUUUGUUCACAAAAAAGUUAGUUGUUAGGCUGUUUUAAAAUUAAAUAAAAUCUUUAUAAAUAUAUAUAUCGCCUAUAUUCGGUUCGUGAAAGAAGAUCGAAAUAAAAAUAUGAUGUCCAUGUUUUAUUUUCGUUUGGUUUUUAAACAGAAAAAUAUCGAUAUUAGUUAUAUUUACCACCCUCUGUAGGUCAGACGCCUUGCGCUUCAUGGCGAAGAUGUACGCACCUCCUUCUGCUAACCCACCUUGUAACCAGGCUUUUGAAAUGCAAGGAUAUUGUUAUUACUCAUUACAUUACGAUGAUACGCGAUAAAAUUGCAAGCAGCUUCAUAUCGCUGAUAGUUGGCAUCCUGGUUGCAAUAUAUGUGUACAGGCUUCUGGAGAAGGAUGUUCCCCAAAAAGUGAAUAGAAAGCCACAGAAUCCGGAGUACCCCUUGCCGGCUUCUCAUUCACCGUUGCAUGAAUUCGCGCGGGCUGGCAUCUGCACCGACAACGAUGUCUGCGGUCUUAUGGCCAGGAAGGCCCUUGAAGAUGGCGGUAGCGUUGUGGAUGCCGCUCUCUCUGCCUUACUCUGCAAUGGCCUCAUCGGAAUGCAGAGCAUGGGUCUCGGCGGUGGCAUGUUGAUGAAAAUUUAUAUACACGAAGAGCGAAAAUCCUACAGCAUUUCUGCCCGCGAAAUAUCACCCAUUUCCCUGCGGGCCGAGAACUUUUCCAUCUUCCGUGACGAGCAGGAGUUUAAGCAGUCCAGCUGGUCCAUUGCGGUGCCCACUGAACUAGCUGGCUAUGCCCUCGCCCAUCAGCGAUUUGGCCGGCUGCCAUGGUCGGAGCUGGUGAAGCCAACGCUUGCAUUGUGUCACACGGGCUAUCGCUUGUAUAAGCAUCAAUAUGAUGCCCUUGCCCUGAACAGAGAUAUGAUCAAAGCUGAUCGUUUGCUGCGGCAAAUGUUCAUCGAUCCCAAAACAGAGAACUUCUGGCCCAUUGGCCAUUUCAUUCAGCCUCCUGCCCAACUGUGCAGCACCUAUGAGCGGCUGGCCAUGGAGGGACCGCACAGCUUCUACAACGGAUCUCUGGCCGAGGACCUGUUGGCCGACUUGAGGGACAUGGGCAGUGUUAUAGGCAAGGAGGACCUAAGCCGCGCUGAUGCUAAAAUUAGCGAGUCCCUGGUGAUUCCCCUCGACGAAUACGAUCUGCAUUUGACGCCUUUGCCAGGCAGCGGCCAUGUCCUGGGCUUUAUAAUGAGCAUUUUGCGACACUUUCGUAGGGACUUUGCACGCACCAGCGAUAUGGGGCCCCUGGAGGUACAUCGAAUGAUUGAGGCCAUGAAAUUUGGCUUUGUCAAGCGCUGGCAGCUCGACGAAGCGGCCGAUGAGCAGCUACUGAAAAGCAUGACCAGCACCAAGGUGUCCGCUUCCAUGGCCGAAGAAAUCGAUGACUCUAUGACGUUCAAUAGCCCCCGGUCGUACGGGGCCCCCGCGGAGAUACGUGUGCGAGAGGAGCACGGUACGGCCCACACAUCAGUGCUGCACGACAACGAUGCCGUUUCAGUCACCAGCACCAUCAAUUUCUACUUCGGCAGCGGACGCACAGGAAAGCGUACAGGUGUGCUCUUCAACAAUGCCAUGUCGGACUUCUCCAUCAAGCAUCUGAGGAACUACUUUGACUUACCCUUUGUCCCAGGCAAGAACAGGGUGGCACCCACUACCCGGCCCAUGUCCUCGAUGAGCCCUCUCAUCGUCACGGAGCGCACGACGGGCAAGGUUCGGCUGGUUGUUGGUGCCGCUGGUGGCACCAAAAUCAUAUCCUCCCUCGUUCCGCUGCUGGUGCGGAUUCUUUGGCAGCAGGCGAACAUCAAAUAUGCCAUCGACGCCAGUCGCAUUCACCAUCAGAUGCUGCCCAAUGUCCUGCUCUAUGAGUAUGGCCUGCUGGAUAGCCAUGUGAAGAGCCUGGAGACCAGGGGACAUGUUUGUGAACGCUAUCUGAACCGCGGCUCUGUGAUAUGCGGCAUAACCCAAAAGAAUGGCACCAUUCUGGUGAAUUCUGACUUUCGUAAACCCGGCGGAGUUACUGGAUUCUAAAACGGGUGUUCCGCCGCGUUUCUACACUCUACACUACAUGUAGAACAUGUAGUACAUGUAGUGACGGCACAUCUACAUACUACAUAGAACAUGUAAGUGUACCUGUAAAAUACACAUUUGUACGUAGAACUUUAUUUAUGUACCAUAAAUAUAAGCACCAGAACACACACACUCCUUAUUGGCUGAUGAUAUCUAUAUAAGACACUGAACAAAUCACGAUACAAAUAUUAAAGUUGUAUUCUUUUAGACUCCAUUUGUGUUGAUAUGAUCUUUGGGUUAUCUAAGCCGAAAAAACCUGCAGCAAAAAAAAGUAGCUCAAACCAAAAAUCAGUUUGAAGCGGGCUCUUGCCCAAGUGGCGAAGACAACUUAACUAAAAUGUUGUUUUAUAUAUAAAUACCAUUGGAUUGCUUUUUGUUCAGCAGUUAAUUCAGUUAUUUCAUUAGUAAAAAUGUUAAAUAAUAUUUGCCAACUGAAGCAUUACAAACGUUAGUUCAAAUACCCAUAACCUGACACACAGUUUCAUGGGAAGAAGACGACAAAACUGGGCAACGGACGAAUGCAUUUUUUAGUUUUUUUUUUUUGCGAAAUGGCAAAUCGACUUCAGAUUACCCGCAUAUACACAUGUGCACUUACAUAUGUAUUUAUUGCAAAAUUAUAAUGAAUGGCCUGGCUUGAGUAGUUAUUCAGAAAGACAGAAAGAACCAACGAGCGAGACGCCUAGCGAUCCGAUACCAUUCCAUUACCAUCUUGGAAAAACCACCCACGGUUCUCAUGGGGUCGCUGAUCUGAUCGGAUACGAUCCGAUCCAAUCCAAUCCGACUGCUUCUGCUUCCCACAUCACAUGGCGAAAAACUUUCAUUUGAGUCGCAUAAUCAAACGCUCAUCUGGCUUCCCUCUUCCGGUCGGUCGGUUGGUCGGUCGGUCGGUGACAGAGCCACCUGAGCCCUCCACAGCCAUCGCUGCCAUCUCUGCCAUCUCUGGCAUCUUUGCCAUCUCUGCCACCGGGUUGUGGCUGAUCUUCAUGGGGGUUUGGUUUUCGUAAUGCUGCAGACGACCCCGACCAUUGCCGAAAUCUCUGGCGUUGCGAAUGGCUCUCCGACCAUUACGGUAUCUCUUGCCUCUUUCAGUCCACUCCAAUCGUUCGGUGGUCAGUGAUCCGCUGGACCGCUGGUCAGUGGAAUUAGGACAAGUAUGGGAAUAUAAUCAGAAAGUCUCGAGUCUCAAGUCUCUGGCCAUCAGUGCUAGUACUUGUACUGCCACUAUUUGCCACAGUUGGCGGCUUAGGCCAGCCAUGCUGCCUGCCAAUUAAUAGAAUUAAACAGAACACAGAGCACAGCUCAGAGCUCAGAGCUCUUACUGUACUCCAGUUUUAGUACGGGUUUUUGUCGUCUUAUUUUUCAUCGUGGAAUUGUGUAGUACUCAGGUUCGGGUCGGCUACUCUGUUGUCUCUGUUGUGACCGAACUAGCCAGCAAAAUUACAACCAAACCAACAACACAAAAACGAAAGAAACAAACAACAACAAAGCCAAGCCAUUUUACGUCAACAGUGUGCACUGCGAGGUUUCACCAAAAAGUUAUACCACAACAAAUAAAAAAAAAAGGGGGAAAAAAACCCGCCCAACCUCUUCUGUUAUUCUAUUGUAGCACAGAUUGAUUAAACGCUAUACCGUGUAUUUAUGGAUGUGUUAAAAAUGUUGAUUUAAUAAUCCAAUUAAGAUGGCCAUAAAAACAAAGACAACCAUAAAUAAUGCUAUGCUCAAAACACGCUCAAAUUUAAGCCAUGCAAAGUGAAUGAUGUAAAAACAGUUUGUUUUUUGUUAAAAACUAAAUAAAAAUUAGUCUUGAGAAAAAACACAUUCCUACACACAAAUCUUUAAGGAAAUAAGUAAUAUGAAAGUUGAAAUAUAUUUCUGAUAGUAAAAUUCACAGACA